This 544-nucleotide small RNA is filed under the name Pan troglodytes (chimpanzee). RNAcentral's name for it is "processed transcript". The record is from RNAcentral. Lineage: Eukaryota; Metazoa; Chordata; Mammalia; Primates; Hominidae.
AACCACAGCCACAUGGCUGAUGUGCUGCUUGAGGGUGCUGUGUCAAGCAGCAAAUGGGAAAUUGAAGCAAUCCGUACUACCCAUGCUGUCCUUCUGAAGAAGCCACCAGGCUGGAAGUCAGGUAUCUCAGUAACGAAGAAGACACAUACAUCUCAAAUUGAAAUUAUUCCAUGCAAGAUCUGUGGAGACAAAUCAUCAGGAAUCCAUUAUGGUGUCAUUACAUGUGAAGGCUGCAAGGGCUUUUUCAGGAGAAGUCAGCAAAGCAAUGCCACCUACUCCUGUCCUCGUCAGAAGAACUGUUUGAUUGAUCGAACCAGUAGAAACCGCUGCCAACACUGUCGAUUACAGAAAUGCCUUGCCGUAGGGAUGUCUCGAGAUGCUGUAAAAUUUGGCCGAAUGUCAAAAAAGCAGAGAGACAGCUUGUAUGCAGAAGUACAGAAACACCGGAUGCAGCAGCAGCAGCGCGACCACCAGCAGCAGCCUGGAGAGGCUGAGCCGCUGACGCCCACCUACAACAUCUCGGCCAACGGGCUGACGGAACUUC